AGGUAGUUGGUGAGGUAACGGCUCACCAAGCCGAUGACGGGUAGCUGGUCUGAGAGGAUGGUCAGCCAGAAGGGCACUGAGAUACGGGCCCUACUCCUACGGGAGGCAGCAGCAGGGAAUCUUGCGCAAUGGGCGAAAGCCUGACGCAGCGACGCCGCGUGGAGGAUGAAGGUCUUCGGAUUGUAAACUCCUUUUCUCGGGGAAGAAUAAUGACGGUACUCGAGGAAUAAGUCACGGCUAACUACGUGCCAGCAGCCGCGGUAAUACGUAGGUGGCUAACGUUAUCCGGAUUUACUGGGCGUAAAGAGGACGCGGGCGGCACUUCAAGUCGGAUGUGAUAUCUCCUGACCUAAUCAGGAUGGGUCAUUCGAUACUGGAGAGCUUGAGGGCAGCAGAGGGAGAUGGAAUUCCCGGUGUAGCGGUGAUAUGCGUAGAUAUCGGGAGGAACACCAGUGGCGAAGGCGGUCUCCUAGGCUGUUCCUGACGCUGAGGUCCGAAAGCGUGGGGAGCAAACCGGAUCAGAUACCCGGGUAGUCCACGCCCUAAACUGUGAAUACUAGGUAUGGGGGGUAUCGACCCUCUCCGUGCCGUAGCUAACGCUUUAAGUAUUCCGCCUGGGGACUACGGUCGCAAGACUAAAACUCAAAAGAAUUGACGGGGGCCCGCACAAGCAGCGGAGCGUGUGGUUUAAUUCGAUGCUACACGAAGAACCUCACCAGGGUUUAACAUGCUAGAAGUAGAGACCUGAAAGGGCGACGAACUGUUGAAUCAGUAGCUAGCACAGGUGCUGCAUGGUUGUCGUCAGCUCGUGCCGUGAGGUGUUGGGUUAAGUCCCUCAACGAGCGCAACCCUCGUCCCAUGUUGAAUUCUCAUGGGAGACUGCCCUGCAAAACGGGGAGGAAGGCGGGGAUGACGUCAAAUCAGCAUGGCCUUUAUGCCCUGGGCCACACACACGCUACAAUGGAUGGUACAAAGGGUUGCCAAGGUGCGAACCGGAGCUAAUCCCAAAAAACCAUCCCCAGUUCGGAUUGCAGGCUGUAACCCGCCUGCAUGAAGUCGGAGUUGCUAGUAACCGCAGGUCAGCAUACUGCGGUGAAUACGUUCCCGGGCCUUGUACACACCGCCCGUCACGUCAUGGGAGUCGGCUCCACCUGAAAUCGGCGCGCCAACCCGCAAGGGAAGUAGCCGCCCAGGGUAGGACCGGCGACUGGGACGAAGUCGUAACAAGGUAGCCGUACCGGAAGGUGCGGCUG
RNAcentral lists this ribosomal RNA (1253 nucleotides) under metagenome. RNAcentral describes it as "bacterial SSU rRNA". It matches the Rfam family "Bacterial small subunit ribosomal RNA", at positions 243 to 1520 of the family's 1533-position model. The record is from RNAcentral.